Molecule: ribosomal RNA, 735 nt
Filed under: uncultured Fusobacterium sp.
Lineage: Bacteria; Fusobacteriati; Fusobacteriota; Fusobacteriia; Fusobacteriales; Fusobacteriaceae
Description: bacterial SSU rRNA
Rfam family: Bacterial small subunit ribosomal RNA
Source: RNAcentral
GAUGAACGCUGACAGAAUGCUUAACACAUGCAAGUCAACUUGAAUUUGGGUUUUUAACUUAGAUUUGGGUGGCGGACGGGUGAGUAACGCGUAAAGAACUUGCCUCACAGCUAGGGACAACAUUUAGAAAUGAAUGCUAAUACCUGAUAUUAUGAUUUUAAGGCAUCUUAGAAUUAUGAAAGCUAUAAGCACUGUGAGAGAGCUUUGCGUCCCAUUAGCUAGUUGGAGAGGUAACAGCUCACCAAGGCGAUGAUGGGUAGCCGGCCUGAGAGGGUGAACGGCCACAAGGGGACUGAGACACGGCCCUUACUCCUACGGGAGGCAGCAGUGGGGAAUAUUGGACAAUGGACCGAAAGUCUGAUCCAGCAAUUCUGUGUGCACGAUGAAGUUUUUCGGAAUGUAAAGUGCUUUCAGUUGGGAAGAAAGAAAUGACGGUACCAACAGAAGAAGUGACGGCUAAAUACGUGCCAGCAGCCGCGGUAAUACGUAUGUCACGAGCGUUAUCCGGAUUUAUUGGGUGUAAAGCGCGUCUAGGUGGUUAUGUAAGUCUGAUGUGAAAAUGCAGGGCUCAACUCUGUAUUGCGUUGGAAACUGUAUAACUAGAGUACUGGAGAGGUAAGCGGAACUACAAGUGUAGAGGUGAAAUUCGUAGAUAUUUGUAGGAAUGCCGAUGGGGAAGCCAGCUUACUGGACAGAUACUGACGCUAAAGCGCGAAAGCGUGGGUAGCAAACAGG